Molecule: ribosomal RNA, 270 nt
Filed under: uncultured archaeon
Lineage: Archaea
Description: partial 16S ribosomal RNA
Rfam family: Archaeal small subunit ribosomal RNA
Source: RNAcentral
CUGCAGCUCAAGUGGUGAUCGUUAUUAUUGGGCCUAAAACGUUCGUAGCCGGUUUAGUAAAUGCCUGGGUAAAUUGUGUAGCUCAACUAUACGACUUCCGGGUAGACUGCUAAACUUGAGACCGGGAGAGGCUAGAGGUACUCCUGGGGUAGAGGUGAAAUUCUGUAAUCCUAGGGGGACCACCAGUGGCGAAGGCGUCUAGCUAGAACGGGUCUGACGGUGAGGGACGAAGCCCUGGGGCACAAACCGGAUUAGAUACCCGAGUAGUCC